This 599-nucleotide ribosomal RNA is filed under the name Salmonella enterica subsp. enterica serovar Infantis. Its description in RNAcentral is "partial 23S ribosomal RNA". It matches the Rfam family "Bacterial large subunit ribosomal RNA", at positions 2204 to 2802 of the family's 2925-position model. RNAcentral also lists the same sequence under 7 other names. Lineage: Bacteria; Pseudomonadati; Pseudomonadota; Gammaproteobacteria; Enterobacterales; Enterobacteriaceae. The record is from RNAcentral.
CCUUUAAUGUUUGAUGUUCUAACGUGGACCCGUGAUCCGGGUUGCGGACAGUGUCUGGUGGGUAGUUUGACUGGGGCGGUCUCCUCCUAAAGAGUAACGGAGGAGCACGAAGGUUGGCUAAUCCUGGUCGGACAUCAGGAGGUUAGUGCAAUGGCAUAAGCCAGCUUGACUGCGAGCGUGACGGCGCGAGCAGGUGCGAAAGCAGGUCAUAGUGAUCCGGUGGUUCUGAAUGGAAGGGCCAUCGCUCAACGGAUAAAAGGUACUCCGGGGAUAACAGGCUGAUACCGCCCAAGAGUUCAUAUCGACGGCGGUGUUUGGCACCUCGAUGUCGGCUCAUCACAUCCUGGGGCUGAAGUAGGUCCCAAGGGUAUGGCUGUUCGCCAUUUAAAGUGGUACGCGAGCUGGGUUUAGAACGUCGUGAGACAGUUCGGUCCCUAUCUGCCGUGGGCGCUGGAGAACUGAGGGGGGCUGCUCCUAGUACGAGAGGACCGGAGUGGACGCAUCACUGGUGUUCGGGUUGUCAUGCCAAUGGCACUGCCCGGUAGCUAAAUGCGGAAGAGAUAAGUGCUGAAAGCAUCUAAGCACGAAACUUGCCCCGA